RNAcentral lists this ribosomal RNA (433 nucleotides) under uncultured bacterium. RNAcentral's name for it is "partial 16S ribosomal RNA". It matches the Rfam family "Bacterial small subunit ribosomal RNA", at positions 29 to 507 of the family's 1533-position model. The record is from RNAcentral.
AACGAACGCUGGCGGCAUGCCUAACACAUGCAAGUCGAACGAGACCUUCGGGUCUAGUGGCGCACGGGUGCGUAACGCGUGGGAACCUGCCCUUAGGUUCGGAAUAACUCCCCGAAAGGGGUGCUAAUACCGGAUAAUGUCUUCGGACCAAAGAUUUAUCGCCUUUGGAUGGGCCCGCGUUGUAUUAGCUAGUUGGUAGGGUAAAAGCCUACCAAGGCGACGAUCCAUAGCUGGUCUGAGAGGAUGAUCAGCCACACUGGGACUGAGACACGGCCCAGACUACUACGGGAGGCAGCAGUGGGGAAUAUUGGACAAUGGGCGAAAGCAUGAUGGAGCAAUGCCGCGUGAGUGAUGAAGGCCUUAGGGUUGUAAAGCUCUUUUACCCGGGAUGAUAAUGACAGUACCGGGAGAAUAAGCUCCGGCUAACUCCGUG